RNAcentral lists this small RNA (28 nucleotides) under Bombyx mori (domestic silkworm). Its description in RNAcentral is "ovarian small RNA-24089". The record is from RNAcentral. Lineage: Eukaryota; Metazoa; Arthropoda; Insecta; Lepidoptera; Bombycidae.
UAUUACGAAUACGUGAUGAUGACCGUGA